RNAcentral lists this ribosomal RNA (497 nucleotides) under uncultured bacterium. Its description in RNAcentral is "partial 16S ribosomal RNA". It matches the Rfam family "Bacterial small subunit ribosomal RNA", at positions 28 to 507 of the family's 1533-position model. The record is from RNAcentral.
GAUGAACGCUGGCGGCGUGCCUAAUACAUGCAAGUCGAGCGAACGGACGAUAAGCUUGCUCCUCUGAUGUUAGCGGCGGACGGGUGAGUAACACGUGGAUAACCUACCUAUAAGACUGGGAUAACUUCGGGAAACCGGAGCUAAUACCGGAUAAUAUUUUGUACCGCAUGGUUCAAAAGUGAAAGACGGUUUUGCUGUCACUUAUAGAUGGAUCCGCGCUGCAUUAGCUAGUUGGUAAGGUAACGGCUUACCAAGGCAACGAUGCAUAGCCGACCUGAGAGGGUGAUCGGCCACACUGGAACUGAGACACGGUCCAGACUCCUACGGGAGGCAGCAGUAGGGAAUCUUCCGCAAUGGGCGAAAGCCUGACGGAGCAACGCCGCGUGAGUGAUGAAGGUCUUCGGAUCGUAAAACUCUGUUAUUAGGGAAGAACAUAUGUGUAAGUAACUGUGCACAUCUUGACGGUACCUAAUCAGAAAGCCACGGCUAACUACGUG